ACCAUCGGGUAAUCGAGCAGGAAACUGUUAGGAAAGUCCAUGCUAGCACAGGCUGAGAUGCUUGUAGUGAUUGCGCUAAACAAACCAAUAAGUUUAGGCACCCUUAAAAGGUGACGGCGAAGAAAUGGAUGUUAAAGGCCAAAGUAUUCAUAAAGUGCCACAGAGACGACUCAUAUAAAAUAUAUAUGAAUGAAACGAGGUAAACCCCACAAGCUAGAAACCCAAAUUUUGGUAGGGGAACGGUUGAUGGAUAAAUGAAUCUAAUCGACUGACGGGAAACCGGAGAUAAAUGAUUGCCACGUAUUUAUACGGACAGAACAUGGCUUAUAGAU
This 332-nucleotide RNase P RNA is filed under the name Bacillota bacterium. RNAcentral's name for it is "RNase P RNA component class B". It matches the Rfam family "Bacterial RNase P class B". From Rfam's summary of the family: Ribonuclease P (RNase P) is a ubiquitous endoribonuclease, found in archaea, bacteria and eukarya as well as chloroplasts and mitochondria. Its best characterised activity is the generation of mature 5'-ends of tRNAs by cleaving the 5'-leader elements of precursor-tRNAs. Lineage: Bacteria; Bacillati; Bacillota. The record is from RNAcentral.